RNA transcript from Quercus lobata, 1896 nucleotides. It is a transcript of the gene named midasin-like, with no coding region annotated. The transcript has 11 exons. The record is from RefSeq and is a predicted model, not a curated record. Lineage: Eukaryota; Viridiplantae; Streptophyta; Magnoliopsida; Fagales; Fagaceae.
UUUCACUUCUAUUCUUGUAUUACUAUUUUCAUUGGCAGAUGAAAUAAACUUAUUCAUAGUAUACGAUAAUAUUGAUACUUUGUUAGUGUUUGAGGAAAUCAAAUGUUUGUGGCGAUUGUGAGUAUGAAUGAUACCUUUUUGAUAAGUAAUAAAGUCUUACUAAUAUCAAAAACUCAAAUCACCCAAGUAUACAGGGAGUAUACAAGGGGAGAUCAUUCACUCAAUCAUGCAGAUUACAUAGAUUUAUCAAAUCACUAACCGAAUAUGGAGGAUGACAACGUAAAACAGACAUCCAAUCCAAUAAAGUUCUAAAGAAAAAUAUUAUUUUAGCAAGGCUGGACAUGCUUCUUGUCAGUUCUUGUCUUUUAUCUGAUGACAAAAGUUUCUUCAUGUUCUUGGAUUGUGUUCCGCUCUGAUCCCGGGAAAUUUAUGAAGUUAAAACAUGAUUGCAAAGAAUUUUUCGAAAAGUGUGAUGGGCUUCUUAAAUGUAUUACACCUUUGGAGGUUAUGGUGAGUAAUAUUGAAGCCAUGGGCUUACCACAGAUUGUUGAUCAAGUGUGCAACUGGCAGGACACAGCAACCUGAUUUGUUGGCCGAUUAUCAGAGGAAUAUGCUGAAUAUGUUGAUGUAGUUCAACCAGUUCAAGUUGCAGUUUAUGAAAUGAAAUUGGGCUCAUCACUGGUUUUGGCAAGUGUCUUCCAGAAAGAUUUGCUCAGUAUGGUUGAGCUGGACGAUAUGGAUCUCAUUAUGGGAACUAUCUAUUCAUUCAUGAGAUUUCCCUGUGGAUUUCCAUCCAAGUUGAUUUCUGUUAACUUGGGCAGCACACAGCCUCAGCUUCUUUCAUAUGACAUAGAUAUUCCCACAAUCUUUUCUGCUGCUGAUAUGACCUUGCUAGAAAAGUUGGUUACAUUCUCAAAUGGUGUUGCUGUUGAUAAGGUCUCCGUUAUGCAACUUAAAGUGUCUCUUCAUCAAAAUGUUCUUGUCCCUGUUGCACAUCAUGUAGCUAAUGCUCAAUUGAUGGAUAAAGAUUCCUUUAAGCUUUUGCAUAAAAUAUUUAAAGAAUUUUCCAAUCUUUGGGUGAGCAUGAAAAUUCAAGCAAAAACCAAAAAGGACUAUGAUUCUCAGCAGUACAAGUUCAAUCCUCGUGUGUUUCAGAUUGAGAGGAUUAUUGAAGUUGAUAUAUCAACACUUGGCAAGUCAAUGGGAAAUGAUAGUUUUUCAGAAUGGAAGGCAUUGCUUUCUGAAGAAAAGUUGACUACAAUGGAGACUUCUAAGGAACAAGAAGCUUCGGAGGAAGAAUGGGAUGUAAUAGAGGAGUCCAUCCUGAACAACAUGGUCGACAUUCACAAUCAUUUAUUUGGUUCAAAUAAUCUUGUUGCUCCUGGAACUUUCCAAAUAUCUGAUGCAGAGAGAUUGCUUUCCUUUACUGACUCCUAUAGAUUGGGAGUAGGGAUGAUUAAAGGAUUCAAAUGCUCCUCUAAUGGCUAAAAUGGUGAAACUGCUUACUCCUCUUCAACAGCAGCUUCUUUCCCUCUUGAAUGAAUGGGAGGAUCAUCAUGGCCUCCAAAGUAUCAUGGGUGUAAUUAAGAUGCUCUUGAAUAUUCCUUUCAGCACCCCAUUGGCUAAGGCCCUUUCUGGAUUACAAUUUCUACUUCACAGGGUCUAGGUAUUACAUGAAAAUGGCUCAAAAUUCUCCCUAGCUGAUCAAUUAGAGCCUAUUCUUGAUCUGAUGUCAUCAUGGAAAAAGUUGGAAUUUGGAUCUUGGCCUGCCCUGCUUGAUGAAGUGCAGGAUCAGUACGAGAUUAAUGCUGCGAAGUUAUGGUGUCCUCUAUAUACAAUUCUUCAACCCAGAGAUUCUGUUGAUACAGUUGGAUAUGACCUAUCUACCAUUCAAAG